GAUGAACGCUGGCGGCGUGCCUAAUACAUGCCAGUCGAGCGAACAGACGAGGAGCUUGCUCCUCUGACGUUAGCGGCGGAUGGGUGAGUAACACGUGGAUAACCUACCUAUAAGACUGGGAUAACUUCGGGAAACCGGAGCUAAUACCGGAUAAUAUAUUGAACCGCAUGGUUCAAUAGUGAAAGACGGUUUUGCUGUCACUUAUAGAUGGAUCCGCGCCGCAUUAGCUAGUUGGUAAGGUAACGGCUUACCAAGGCAACGAUGCGUAGCCGACCUGAGAGGGUGAUCGGCCACACUGGAACUGAGACACGGUCCAGACUCCUACGGGAGGCAGCAGCAGGGAAUCUUCCGCAAUGGGCGAAAGCCUGACGGAGCAACGCCGCGUGAGUGAUGAAGGUCUUCGGAUCGUAAAACUCUGUUAUUAGGGAAGAACAAAUGUGUAAGUAACUAUGCACGUCUUGACGGUACCUAAGCAGAAAGCCACGGCUAACUACGU
Molecule: ribosomal RNA, 496 nt
Filed under: uncultured bacterium
Lineage: Bacteria
Description: partial 16S ribosomal RNA
Rfam family: Bacterial small subunit ribosomal RNA
Source: RNAcentral